UUGACAGUACUGGUGACCAAAGUCCUCUAUCCACAGAACAGAUAUAGUAUGACCAGCAGCAGUGCAAACUUCUCCAUAUUACCCCCACCAACAAACCUCAACUUUGAAGUCAGGGGAAUCCCAUCUAGAGGUUACAGGCGAGAGGAUAAUUUUGUUUCAAUGACAGUUUAAUCUUUCAACUCU
Unclassified non-coding RNA from Chelonoidis abingdonii (Abingdon island giant tortoise), 183 nucleotides. The record is from Ensembl. NCBI's taxonomy places the organism in Eukaryota, Metazoa, Chordata, Testudines, Testudinidae.